UUUAGAUUUUUUAGAUUAAAACAAAUUUUUGAUUUUAGAUUCAAUAUUUUCUCCAGGUGAUCUGGUUUUCCACAAAAACAAGGGUCAGCUUUAGAGAGCAAUUGAUGUAACCCACACACACACACACACACAUCAUCAACAAUCAUGGAUUGAACACAUACCCGCAACCACCCACAUCAGGGUGUCCAACCCAAGCUAUCAGGGCUUGUGUUGGACAACCCCUGGGUAUCUGGGAUAGCCCUUGAGUAUCAGGGACAGCUCAGAUACCCAGAGGCUGUCCAACCCCCUAUGUUUUCUGAUUCAGCGCUGGUGAUUUGGUGGUGUCUGGGUGUGUUUGAUGUGCUUUUUCCUUUGCAUGGUGUCCACCUAGCAAAUGAUGCGCUGGGUUUACUUGAUUUCUUUUUGUUUGUUUUUGUUUUUUGUUUUGAGGGUGUUGCCUGGGUUUUGUUUGUUGUCCUGUGUUUGUGUUUUUUUGCUUCGUCUAUGUACAGGUUAUGGUGCUGUGGAUCUGGAGCUGGCUGUUUCUUCCUUGCCGUCCGUCUCUCCACACCUCCUGGCCUCCACAGUGUGCUGCUCUGCUGCUGGAUUUCUUCCCAUCCUUAUCAUGCACAGACCCAGGCAUUGUGUUUGUGUCUCUUUUCUAUCAUCUUUUUCUUCGGCCAGUCGAGGCAGACGGCUGCCCGUCCUGAGUCCGGUUCUGCUGGAGGUUUCUCUCAGCUCGUAAAAAUCUACCAUGCCCAGCCGAGGAAGGAGCACUGUCGCCAUGUGCUUGCUCAGGAUGGGGGAUGUCAUCAAAUUGGUUUUAUGACUAAUUUGAUGGGGUUCGCCGAGGACCCCUCUGGAGAAUCGUCACCUUAACGUGGUGGAGGGAUUUGAGUACUCCAGUGAUCCUGAUGGCUAUUAUUUUUUUAUUUUAUCUUAUUUUGUUUUAAUUUUUGCCAUUAGAGACCCAAUGGUUUCUAAAGGCAAAGAUGGCUUCAGGGGAGGGGUCAACCAAGAACGAUUCAAACACUGUUUUCCCAAACGAAUAAGAAGUUUUCAGUAGAUCUUUUGUCUAAUUUUUCAGAAGGUUAUUGCCAUUUCUUCUUUUCGUCUUCACAUUGAAAGUAAGAAAACAAAGUUAUUUGUUGAGCUCAAAGUCUUAGUUAAUUUAGAGAUAUAGGAGUUAUUUUCUAAGUGUUUAUGUAAAAGGUAGAAUGAAAGAGGGAGGGAGAAGAAACUCAACAUCAGUGAACGGUCCUUCUCGUGCAUCUGUGCUGUCAGAGACUCUCUUGCAGAGACAAAGGAGGUUAAGACUUAGGAGGCCAGACUCUCUCACCCAUCUACUCCCUCAGCUCUGACAGCUCUCCCACCGAGGCCCCCGGACACAUGGACAGCAAUUCUCCCAGCAUACAGAGCUGCUGGUCUCCACCGGAGAUCUGGAGCUGCAACUGAUGCCUCACAGGGCAGAGCCCGAAGUUGUACCUGUUCUGGUCAUCAGCAGGAGGAUAAGAGGAGCUGACAUUCUUCACUGCGUCACUGAACUAAAUGUGUGAGGUUUAAACAGACUAAACUUUCUUUGAAUUGAACAUGUUAGAAUCCUGUGCUCCGGAUCUGAUAUGCCUGUAAGAUUAGAUAUUUUAGAAGAUAGUUUCUUCAGUUUGUAUUGCUCAAUUGCAAUAGCUGAAUUCGGUAAUAUUGUCAAUAUUGCUAUAACAUCUCUCUCUGUUCAAAUAUAGUUAAAAAACAAAACACACAACCUCCCACAUUGUUGCUUUUUUCCUCUUGAUGAAAAAAAAAACCAUAAAAACAAAUUCAAAAUGAAAUCAUUACAUAACAACUUAAGAUGAGCUUAAGAACAUUUUAUUUGUUUGGAGCUUCCCAAGUCCUGAUUGCUGUUGUAAAAGAUGACAAAAACGAACCACAGAUAUGCCAGAGACAACAACAAGGACUAUUAAGCUUUUUGGGUUUUUUUCCCCUGGUUGGUGUAACCUUGAUGGUUAGAAUACAGAUAAAGUUAAAAGGUCGUCUUCAGUGUUAAUCCUCCACCCCGUGAUGCAUUCUUCCACACUCUUACAGGGCAUCCGUUUGUUGGCAAAGAACCAAAAUAAAGUCACAUACACACACAGGAGUUGUUUCUGUUUCAGUGAUCUGGGCAGACACCCAAUCUGCGGACAGCAGAGCCUAUGUCUCAAGCUGGGGAUGUGCUGUUUUCUGUGUGUGCGGCGUGUUGUUGCCAUGUCGGGGCUUGUGUCCUAUUAUCACCCCUCUCCCACUUCCUUCUCUCCUAAGCACAGACACACACAAACACACACACACACACACACCGCCUCUCAAAGACUCGGCCAACAGCCAAGACUGCAGCACCGGGAGGCUAAACUAACUCUGAUUUGUGAGGUGACAAAAAGGAGGGAAAGAGAUCAACUGUUCAUGUUGUGUGUUGCAAAGAAAAGAACCAGCAUUUAAGUAAACGCCUAAAUGUUGAUCAAAGAACUCUCUCAGAGCAUUUAACUUCCAAAAAAUUAUUUUUAUUCUGAAGGACCAAUAAAAUUAUGGCAAAUAUUUACAAAUAGUUACUUCUCAGUUUCACAUUACUGAUACAUAAAUGGAAUAAUUCACCAACAAACAGUCACUCUGGUGGACAGAUGGACAGGUACACAGACUGAGUAUGAAGAGAUGCAUCAAGCAAACUGUAAUUCAAAAUUUCACAGUAAAAAUCAAAGCCAGGAAAUUAAAUAACCAUAAUAUAACCAUAAAAAUAGAAAACAUAAGCCUUUUAACAAAGUCACCAUUUAUUUCCGGCUUUUGGGAUAAAACCAAUUACCAGUCGGGGGCAAAAAGUAAAACGAGGGUUGUUGAAGAGAAAUCAAGUGAUAUGAUAUCUUUGGCAAAGUCGCACUGCAGUAAAAUACAUUCAAAUAUUAAGACAACACACGACACACAGAGAGAAAAAACACCAAGAUUUGUUUGCAACUACUAGAAAAUUGAAUAAAAAACAUACACAUUUUCAUAAAGAAGCAUUUCACUUUUUUUUUCAAACCAUCCCCUCCAGAAUAUUCAAAGGCAAUACUUCAUUUUAUGUAUCUGUAAGUCUUUUCUGCCCUUUUAUAUGUUUUUGUACAAGAAUCGAAUAUUUAAAACAGGCAUCACAGGCUUUGGUGAAUGUUAACGGAUAUGUUUUCUUUUAGUUGUGUUUGUGUUUUGAAGAAAGGAAAAUAUUGAAACCAAAUUUAUUCCUCGUAUGUCUUUGCAUCACAAUAUAUUUCUGUAUUCCUGUGUUUUUUGAUCAUAUUUUUAUUUUUUUUUAUUUUUAGCCAAAAACACGGAUAGAAAUAUCUCCUCAACAGCCUAAAUAGGAAGCCAUGGACACACACACACACACACACACACACACACACACAUACGCACGCAAGCAUACACACAAAAUCAACAUAAUAUUAAAACAACUCCAGAUUGUUACACAAAAGGCCACAGUAAGGUGAGAACUCAUGUAUCUAUUUCUUUUUUUGAUUGAAACAGCUGCUUAAGUCAGGUUUUUGUAGGCUGAUUCGUGCGCAUUAGUUCUCUUCCACAGUUGAAUAAUAUAAAGAUGUAGGGAACUCUGUAACGCUUCAGCGUGAGAUCUGUCUGAAGCCUAGUUAUAUCGGCAAGCAUGGAACAGAUUGUGCCACUAAUUGCUGUCAAGAUGUGAUGCUGAAUUCCCCUCUGGUUUGGGAUUCAUAUUGAGAUACAGUCGAGCAGUGCACACUUGGUGGAAAAUCAUAAUUUAAAAAAAAA
Molecule: non-coding RNA, 3756 nt
Organism: Poecilia reticulata (guppy)
Lineage: Eukaryota; Metazoa; Chordata; Actinopteri; Cyprinodontiformes; Poeciliidae
Source: RefSeq, a predicted model, not a curated record